Salvator merianae (Argentine black and white tegu) is the source of this 2785-nucleotide long non-coding RNA. Lineage: Eukaryota; Metazoa; Chordata; Lepidosauria; Squamata; Teiidae. The record is from Ensembl.
AUGGCGCGCAGCAGGGCAGGGAGAAGCGCCUUUGCGGCAGUUUCACGUGCCGACCUUGCGGGCUCAGAAAACGAGACGCGGCAGCAGCAGAAGCAGCAGCCACUUCCGGAGGCACUUCCGAUAACAUUGGAAAGGACAUGGAAAACCCUCCCAACAGAAGAUGAUGACGAGCAGAAAACUGACGAAUCUGACACAGUUGAACUUGGAAGCUGCAUNCAUUAGUUGGAGCACCAACCUCUUCUCACAUCUGAAGCCCCAUGUAGGGCCAGAAUUUGCCAAGCAACCUGCACUAAGGGACUUGUAAGGAAAUCUGCUUGCUUCUCAGCUGCUAAUCUUCAAUUGGAUCCUUGCUACAUCUCUUAAUGCUAGUAGUUUCUUCAGUAUUGCAGAGAAAAACANCAGAAAGUUGAACGAUUUACUACGGGUAACGUUCAGAAGCUGCACGUCUUCUAUCAAGGGGCACCCUAAGAGCAAGAGUAAGAAGUGGCACCAGNUGGAAUUUAGAAAAAAAGAAACUGCCUUUGGAAUAUGCUUUCUCAAGGAGGUGUUACAUGUAUCUUUUGUAUUUUUGUAGACAAGGCUCAGAUUCUGAACUUCUUCACACAAGGUGCAUUUCACCACAAGACUCUGUGGCUGUUUUAAGUGGCCUGCUGCAUAGUCCAGGCAAAGCAGAGCUACAAGAUAUCGUAGGCAUUUCUCUUGCAAAGGGAUGAUGAAAUCUUUGUUUAGCCCAAGCUGACGUACAAGAAUCUCCUGUGAAUGCUGUGUGGAUGCAUAGAAGAGUAACAAAUGACUCACAGAGAAGACACAAUCUUCUAAGGAGCUUUCCCUGUGAGACUAGAAAAUUCAGUCAAAAAUUACCUACCGGAGCACUAAUUUAUCCCAGAUCAUAUUUCUGCAUUUCCUAAGGUGAUACAUGUGGAGCAGCCUUCACCAAUCUAACAUCCUCUGGACCUUUUUUGAUUCAACUCCUGUAAGUGUUGACUGAGAUUGAGAGGAGUUGUAUUCUAUAACAUUGCUCCUCAGUGAUCAAAAGACAAUCAGUAAUUUUCAUUACUUGAGAAUUCACAGAUGUGCCGUUUGUUGUUUUUAACUUUGAAUUUCUUGAAAUUGUGUGGGUAUUGAUGAAAACAUCAGGCUUCUUGAAAGUGAUGAAGGAACACGUUUGCAAAAUCCUGCUCCAGAACAUCUGGAAAACACUAGGUUUCGUGAUGUCUAAGUUAGAGACUGGCGACAGACUGUCUCAAGGCACUGUACAUGAAUCCAUUGUUUACAUGGCCUAGCCCGCACUUACCAGGGAGAGGAAACUGGACACUUGCUUCUUACUCACCUGCCUGAUCAGAAGCUGCAAGAUGAGGGAGCAAAGCAUGGGUGCAUUGUGGUCUGAUAACAUCCUUUCAAACAUGGCUGAGCUGUGACCUUAAUUUUUUUUACCCCCUGCCUCUCCCAAGAGCCUGAUGGAUCAAUAGCUUAUCAUUCUCUUUCUUCCAUUUUGGAGAUUCCUUUAACUAAACUUUGUAUGAUGGAGUUCCCUCUUCCACUCUGCACAUAUUUAAACAAUUUCUUCCAAUUUUGGUGGGUGGGUUUUUGUUUGUUUGAUGGCUGUCCCAUAUAGAUUAAUCUUCUCUCUNUAAAGAACUCAAACAUUAAUUGUUCUCCCACAAAUUCAUACCAUUGUUUCAUUGAUCUUUCUUUUGNGGUUUUUCACCACCACUGCCCGUGCUGCCAAUAAUAAUUGUACCACUAAAUAUUUGACUUUGUUCUUAAAUCUUGUCUUUCAAAUUUCUUCAUUAAUAUCAUUUCUUUACACCAUACAAUAUAUCUGAUUAUUUUAUUUCCUGUCCAGUUUGUUCCAGCCAUCACCAUAUUGCUUUUUCCCUUCAAGCGACCAUUCUUGCUCUGCUCUAGCAAGCUGCACUUACCUUACUGGUACUUCAGUCUCCUUGCUGGCUUCACAGACCUUUUCAUAGUCGGCAAAGUGCCUUGGGUGUUUUAAUAAUGUAAAACCUUUUUAUGACAGCACAAGCAUUUGUGGGCUUAAGUGCACCAUUUUGAAGUGUAAAGGGCACUUGCAAAUAUCUCUGGAAAAGAUCAGGACUGGAUCUAAUGUGAGAGUGAGAAGGAAUGAGCCGGGUUGCCUUCCUCCUCCCAAAUCAGUUCCAGGCUUGCAUUUUGAUGUUUCCACUGGAUAAAAUUCAAUUCAGAGUUCCCUGUGGCAGAGAAGCUUCCUGAAGUAGCAUGAUGGAUGUCACCAACAAUGGCUUAAUGUGUUGCUUGGUUGGCUUCAGUGUUCUCAUCAUGAAAACCUGGAUAGUGUGAAUGCCUUCAUGUAAACCCAAUUCAAGGAAUUAACUUUAACUUAUAAGACCUAAAUGGGUGAGGCUCCAAAUAUCUAAAGGAACACCUUCUCCAAUACCAACUUGCUGAUGUCAAGACUGCAGGGGAGGCCCUUCUGGUUGUACCACCACCUUCAGUAGUUAAAGGGGUAAGGACCUUGGAUAGGGCCUUCCUGUUAACUGCCAGACUGCAGCCAGAUUAUGGAAUGGUCUUUCCCAUGUGGUACGGCAGACACAGUCACUGUAUAUGUUCAGGAAAUCAGUGAAGAUAAGCCUAUUUAUCCUGGUCUUUUUCUGAGGGAACAGCUUCCCCUCCCCAUUUUCAGGCACCAUUAUUGAUUUUGGUGUGUGCAUUUUAUAUUGUUUUUGUUGCUGUAACCCACCCUGAGGCCUUUGGGUACAGGGUAGGAUAAAAAUGCAAAUAAAUGAAUACUCGGAAGUGAAACCCA